CGAAUUAAACCAGGAGCCUGGAGACGAAUUUUUGAAUGAAACCAAUUGGGGGGUACUUAGCUUGUUCCAUGGUGGUACCUAGAGAGGCAAUUGCUAAGUCGUGGCACUCUCAUACCUUUACUAGAUGCGAACAAUUCCGGAGAAGAAGAAGAAGUGGAAUCGGAUGAGAAGAUUAUUUAUAUUGUUGGAAUUCUUAUAUUGAUGGAGUUGAAGAAGUACAGGGACAAAUAAGCCAAGGCAAGCCAUCUUUUGACCUC
This is a non-coding RNA of Lolium perenne, 257 nucleotides long. NCBI's taxonomy places the organism in Eukaryota, Viridiplantae, Streptophyta, Magnoliopsida, Poales, Poaceae. The record is from RefSeq and is a predicted model, not a curated record.